This 141-nucleotide microRNA precursor is filed under the name Olea europaea subsp. europaea. Lineage: Eukaryota; Viridiplantae; Streptophyta; Magnoliopsida; Lamiales; Oleaceae. The record is from RNAcentral.
AAGAUGACGUAAAAGGAAGAGAAUUAGAAAGUAAUUGGGGAUUUGGAAGGAAAAACAGUGGAUUUUGAUCUCGUAAAAUCCGCUAUUUUCCCUUCCAAAUCUCCAAUUACUUUCUAAUUCUCCUCCUUUUACGGCAUCUCU